Pleuronectes platessa (European plaice) is the source of this 1133-nucleotide long non-coding RNA. RefSeq lists it as uncharacterized. The record is from RefSeq and is a predicted model, not a curated record. The transcript is spliced from 7 exons. Lineage: Eukaryota; Metazoa; Chordata; Actinopteri; Pleuronectiformes; Pleuronectidae.
UAAAAACGCCCGGGUGGCGCUGAGAAGCAUUGGAAAAAAAAGCUGAAGUCUCUGGAGGUGGAGGCUGCUACAUGUGCCAAACUGACGGACCUGUUUGGUGCCGGGUUCACCAGCCCAGCAGCAGCAGGUGCGCCGGGAGACGAGCGAGGAGGACUCGACAAUGAUGAGCGAGUGGAGGCAGACAUGGUUGUUGUGAUAUAUUUGAGGAGUCGUUCUCCCUCUGUUUUAUAUGUGGACAUUUGUGACCACUGUUAUAAUUUGGUUGACCACUUGACAUGUGAGAGCCUGAGGAGUUGUUCCCCCUCUGUCCAUGUUCGAGGACUUGCUCUCUGUCUGCCUCCACUCUCUGCCUUCACUGUACCAAAGUUUGUCUGUUGAGUCUCCUCUAGUCUGGUUGACCACUUGACAUGUGAGAGUCUGAGGAGUUGUUUUCCAGACACAGGUAGAGCUGGCAGGGGCGUCACCCGAGGAACCCCUGACUGCAGCUCGCAGAUCGAGGAGGAGCUUAAUUUUCCCUAAAUGUGGGCUGGUCUAAACGUUUAAGCAAAAAAGCGGGAGAUCGUAUUUCCGUCUGAGUCCAUAAUACUGCGCGCUUUUCUGCCUAGAGAUUUGCCUACAUUGUAUCGCCAUCCUACCACAGCUCGCACACGCACACUGCACAACCACAUUGCACCACAGUGCACCACAUAACACACACAUUACAAAACCAACAGUUCUUUUAAGAACCACUGUCUGUCUGUCUGUCUGUCUGCCUGUCUGUCAGUCACUGUCAGUGUCCUGAUUUUCUCUGGUCAGGUAGGUUCACUGCAAUGCUUAAAAAAAAUCUUAUUUCAUAUCCAGGUUUAUAAAAACAGUAACUAAUGCGCUAUAUUUGUGUGUGUUUCUACCCUAUAGUAUGUCUGAGAGAAAUAAAGAAGGUGUCCCACUGCGGUCCCCCCCGCUACAUGGAGCCCCACAUCCUGGGCUGGAGGCCUCUCAUGCUCAAGCUCAGGCUCAUUUGAAGUAUCCUCUUCCUGAGGCCACCCCCGAUGACGUCAAUGUGAGACACAUUAAUAUACUUAUGGAUGGUGAUACACCAAACAUUAAUAAGAUCACCAACAGUGAACUGUUCCACUGUCCCUUCUGUAAAUACG